UACGAAGGUCCCGAGCGUUGUUCGGAAUCACUGGGCGUAAAGGGUUCGUAGGCGGUGCGGCAAGUUGGAAGUGAAAUCUCUGGGCUUAACCCAGAGGCUGCUUUCAAAACUGCCGUGCUCGAGUGCGAGAGAGGCCAGUGGAAUUGCAGGUGUAGCGGUGAAAUGCGUAGAUAUCUGCAGGAACACCCGUGGCGAAGGCGGCUGGCUGGAUCGCAACUGACGCUGAGGAACGAAAGCUAGGGGAGCAAACAGG
Molecule: ribosomal RNA, 253 nt
Filed under: uncultured bacterium
Lineage: Bacteria
Description: partial 16S ribosomal RNA
Rfam family: Bacterial small subunit ribosomal RNA
Source: RNAcentral